AGUGCAAGCUGGGCCUUGAGAGAAGGGGCUCGGGGGCAAACGAAGCAGCUGCAAAGCUGGCGCCUGCCUUGGGAGCACACCCGUGUGCUGGGGACCGGGCUUAUACCACCCCCGGCAGUCCCUGGAGAAGGGGCUCCGACGGGCCCACAGGGAGUCCGGCUAUCACCGCGGCACGUCCGUGGGACCAUUGCAGAGACAUCUCCAGCUGAGAUGGAGGCCCCGCUGUGCCAGGCAAACCCAGAGACUGCCCCUGCCCCAAGGAGCUGAACAGAUGGGCUGCUGCUGCAGAUGGGGAAACCGAGGCAUGGAGGGAUGACACACCUUUGGCCAACAUCCCAAGGCCACGAUCGCCCAGGUCUGCUAGACCAGCCUGCCCCACUGCCACCCAUGAUGCUCUGUGGGUCAGGAUCCAGCUCUCCCCCAGCUCAGCCUGACCAGGGUUUCCUCUGCCGUUAUCCAGGGAGGGAGGUGGGGGCGCGGCAUCCUUCUUGGGGGAGCAGAGAGAUGCCUGAGCCCACCAUUAUUUAAGCUCCAUCGGGGUUUUUCCUGACACGGCUCUGUGGCGUCACGAUCCACAAUUAACAGUAAGCAGGAUACAAUUAGCUCCGUCAGCAGCACCCCUGGGGUCACCCCGCUGGCAUCUGGCUCCACAGCCCCCGUUGCUGCCGGGAAGCGGGUCAUUUCACUGCCAUCUCCUGUGCCCACGAGGGGCAGACACAGCACCCGGAGCCACCGGUGCCCUCCCCAGCUCAGCACAGGGCGGUGUGUCCGGAGCAGGGCACUGGGCCCAGCAAGGGGAUCAGGUCAGAAAGACUUUUAAAGCGUCCGUAAAUCUCGCUCAUGCAAACAGUCACGGAAGGACAUGGGGUGAUGGCAUUUCCUCCUGGCUGGCCGGUCCCCUCACCACCAGGCCCUGAGAGCUGCCAGUAUCAGGCUGUCCGGGAUGCCCCAGUCCGAUGGGAGACGUGCUUCGGAGAGGACAUGAGGGGGGAAGGCCGAGGGGUACGUCCCGUUCUGCCUCCCUGGCUCCCCCCAGGCGGCUUCCCGCUGGCCUCUUGUGCAGGCAGCGAUUGGACCGGGUGCGAAUCUCCAGCCCAAACUGGUGCCACAGCCCCCAGGCACUCAGGGUCAGCUCUGCUGUGCUUCGUGGGGUGGCUAGGGGUCUUCUGCUUGUGCUCCACAAUGGUAUGAGCAGCCAAGGGGGUGCGGACAGGUCACCGAUAAGUAUGGCCAUUAAUUAUAUGCAUCCUGGCACUCUCCAGCAUUGAUCGGCUGAAGGAAGCAUGUGGAUGUGAGCGCUCAGACAGCAUCCAAGCUUUAGCCUGGGAGAGCCUCGGCCUGGGAGGAGGCUGCGGGGGAGAAACGGCUGGAGAAGAGCAGAAGCCCGCGGCGCUCGGGCAGACUGGACGGCAGGGAGCAGGGCCAGUCCUUGUGCCUCGGAGCCGAUGGUUGCAGAAGGGCAGCUCUCGGCUGGGGCGGGACACGGCUUCUAACUCCCCCGGGGAGAAACCCUGCAGCCUAAAGGUAGCCGGCAUCCCGCCGGCUGGACCGUGCUGUGCUCAGCCCGGCGGCGAGGGGCAGGGGCUGGAGGUGUGCCCCUUGCCCCGCACCGUGCGGGGCCAGACCUGGCUGAGACGGGACGCUAGCUCGUGCCACUUCAUGCCCUCCGCGCUGGUCCGGGGGCAGCAGCGCUGGUGCCAGGCCGGCCUGUCGGAGCCCCCGGCGGACUGGAGUCCGGCCUCGCCGGCUGAUAAGAUGUGCUCCUGCUUCUAGCCGGCGGCGUAUCCCCUUUCUCUAUCGGGCAGCCGGCAGCCAGGCUGGCGGGCCCCGGGGAGGGUCUCGUUUCAGCAGCAAGCAAAGCAGCGCGCGGCCUGGCGAGGCCUCCGAAGAGGACGGCUCGGGGGAAAAGCCGGCGGGGGAGACGGUCCACAUUUCAGGAGGCUUCGAGGAAGAUCAGACCCCGUUCAACAGAAGCAUUAGGGGACUCCUGUGCUGUCUGCCUGAUGCGACGUGAACCCGAAGCCCGUGGGAUCCGCCGGGGACCUGCUGAUUCGCUCUGCCUUCAAACCCUCUCCUCUGGGCUCUGGCUCCUUCCCCGGCUCCCGUCCUGUCCCCGCAGGCUUUGGGCUCUGUGAGAAACCCCCUUGGAAAUGGCUCCCACGCCCAUCGUGACCCCUGCCAACGCUGAUCAGCGUUUACUGUAUUUUUUCGCAUACCACGCGCCCCCCAGACACACACCUUGCUUUGGGAAGGCAGAAUGAAGAAAAAGAAAAAGACUUUUCCUUUGAAUCAAACUGGAUUCGUGUUCCCUAUUGAAGGGAGAGGCAAGGAUUUCUUAAGGGGAUCUCUGUUACUUGACCCACUACAUAGCUGGGAUAGAGUCAGAUCAGCUUUCAAAUGCAAGGCAUCCAUUGUCGCCCUAAGAAAUCCUUGCCGCUGGCAUCAUUCCUGGACCGUCGUGUCUGCAACAUCACCCUGGCACUCCCCUAUUUAAGACGCACGCUGCAAUUCUCAGUUGCUAAUUUUGGGGCAAAGACUUUGAGCUUCGUGCAGCCCCGUUUCUAAGCAGAUCCCUCACCAGAGGCUGCCAACACCGAUAGCCUCUGGGUUUCACAAGGCUCCGGGAGCUGGUGAUUGAAGGAAAACCGAAACCACGUUCAGCCUGGGCCAACAUGGGCGGCAGAUGUCGAUGGGGAUGUGUCUUCCACCUCCCCCCUUAACGCUGCAGGGAGUUUCAGCUGUCGGUGCUUUCUCUCCCUCCUGCUUUCCCCUGGGCACAGCGAGUGGCUCCAGCCCUUCCCCCCGGGGCCAUGGAGCGGCUGGAAAAUGUUACCCCGGACACAUCUGGCUCUGCAGGAUGGGGCCCUGCUCUCGGCCUCCCCCCGCCUGCUUCGCCGGGGAGCUGAGCUUUGCUGCAUCAUGAGCAAAAAAAAAAAAAAGAAAAGAAAAAAAAAGAGGCUUCUGCAGCCUGGGGAGAAAGAGCCUGUGCACAGAUAAUAAAGCAAAGGGGAGUCAA
Alligator sinensis (Chinese alligator) is the source of this 3016-nucleotide long non-coding RNA. RefSeq lists it as uncharacterized. The record is from RefSeq and is a predicted model, not a curated record. NCBI's taxonomy places the organism in Eukaryota, Metazoa, Chordata, Crocodylia, Alligatoridae. The transcript is spliced from 2 exons.